UACAGUGAUCAGGUUACGAGGGA
Molecule: microRNA, 23 nt
Filed under: Chrysemys picta bellii (western painted turtle)
Lineage: Eukaryota; Metazoa; Chordata; Testudines; Emydidae
Description: Cpi-Mir-1329-v1_5p (mature (guide))
Source: RNAcentral